Molecule: non-coding RNA, 1261 nt
Organism: Camelina sativa (false flax)
Lineage: Eukaryota; Viridiplantae; Streptophyta; Magnoliopsida; Brassicales; Brassicaceae
Source: RefSeq, a predicted model, not a curated record
CACUUCCCCUCUUUCUCCGAAAACCCUAAAGACAUAAAAUCUAUGAGAGGUAACAUAUCACUAAGCCAAAUAUUACACUUUUUAUCGCCCACACUUGAAAAAACACAAAACUCCAACCUAAUUUCUAUCUUCACCUCUCCACACCCAACAUUCAUCUUGUUCCAGCUUCAGAGAAGAGAGAGCGAGAGAGAGAUUUCUUAAAAUAUGUUGUCAUAGUCAAAUCUGGAGCCAUCUAAAAGAUCAAAAAUCUAUAUUCGAGUGGGUCUACACCAAAAAAAGCGAGAAACCCAGAUUCCACUUGGUCUAGUCAUGGUGAAGAUGAGACGAUUAAGAACGGAGAAGAAGAUUGGGUGAAAAAAGUUUCAAAGAUUGUAAAGACAUCUAGUUUGGUAAAGUAUUGUGGAUCUAAGAGGAGUUUCAAUUUUCUCAGAACAAAUAGAGCUGCAACGAUGGUGACGUGAAGAAGAUCAGAGAUAAUUUCUACCCCUCAUCCUAGUGUUGACUUUAGAUGGAUGCAGCUGAAACAUGAGCUGCAAUAAAAGGGUGUUGAAGAGUCAUUACUUUAACGAAAGGGGAUAAGAGAGCCAGAAAUGCUAGGACACAAGGUUAGAUUUUUUUGGUUGAAGAUAGGGGAUAAGAGAGCCAGAAAUGCUAGGACACAAGGUUAGAUUUUGUUGUUGUUAUACAGUGUUACUAAACAAGACCUUGAAACUCUUGGCUAGAGAGUCUGCUUCCUAUCAAUUUGUAUUGCUGCAUUUGGUUUGACAUUUACUUAAAUGUGCAGCUUCUAAAAAUACUUUCAGCUUAGUCUCUUUUCUUUGUCCAUUGCUAGUUUUAUCUGUGAGUCUUUCUCACUUUGCCUCAAUGAUCUAGUCCUUAAUUUUGCAGUUGGACGAUCAUCCCACUUAUUAUAAAAGGUUUUCUAUGGCCCCUUUGAUUUCCUUGUAUUGAUAGAAGAAUGAGGAUGCCCAACACUUUUGAAGCUGACAUGUCGUAUUAUCCUUAAAACUUGUAAUUAAGGUUCCAAGAUUAAUCUAAAGAGAGAGUGGAGAUCCUAGCUUUGUCCAAGAACAUGAUGAUCUACAGCUCCAUAUACCUUCUAUAUCUCCUCAGUUUGGAUGAGUUACAUGUAUAUGUUCUUAGAAGUUUGUUACUUUUUUUUUGUGAUGUAAAUUUUAUUUUAAUUAAGAUUGGUGGCACUUGAUUUUAUGUAAGACUACUUUUGGUUAACAUAAUAUUAAUUUUAUGUACAUGUUGAUAA